GCCCUUGUAGUACAACUAGUAUACUGGUCUUGUAAACCAGAGAUGGAAACCUACCUCUCCCCAGGGCA
Molecule: transfer RNA, 68 nt
Filed under: Tupaia nicobarica (Nicobar tree shrew)
Lineage: Eukaryota; Metazoa; Chordata; Mammalia; Scandentia; Tupaiidae
Description: tRNA-Thr
Source: RNAcentral